UACGGGGGGGGCAAGCGUUGUUCGGAAUUACUGGGCGUAAAGGGCUCGUAGGCGGCCAACUAAGUCAGACGUGAAAUCCCCAGGCUCAACCUGGGAACUGCGUCUGAUACUGGAUGGCUUGAAUCCGGGAGAGGGAUGCAGAAUUCCAGGUGUAGCGGUGGAAUGCGUAGAUAUCUGGAGGAAUACCGGUGGCGAAGGCGGCAUCCUGGACCGGCAUUGACGCUGAGGAGCGAAAGCCAGGGGAGCAAACGGG
RNAcentral lists this ribosomal RNA (253 nucleotides) under uncultured bacterium. RNAcentral describes it as "partial 16S ribosomal RNA". It matches the Rfam family "Bacterial small subunit ribosomal RNA", at positions 524 to 776 of the family's 1533-position model. The record is from RNAcentral.